AUAGAAGGUGCAACCUGCUCAGUGGCUGCAAAUAAAUAAAUUAAAUACAGUUAUAUAGCCGCGGUAACUCUGACCGUGAUAAAGUAGCAUAAUCACUUGUCACCUAAUUAGUGAAUAGAAUGAAUGGUUAAACGAAUCCUACACUGUCUCAAUAAGAAAUCCUAUAAAAUUGGAAUUGUAGUGAAGAUACUACAUUAAGAUUGCAAGACGAAAAGACCCUAUUGAGCUUUACUGGAUGCUUACAAAAACCCAAAAAAAUAACAAAUAUAUUAGUUCUAUAUUGUAAGUAAGACAGUUUGGUUGGGGCGACCACCUCUAAAAAAGUAACAGAGGAGAUCUGAAGGUAAUUUUUAUGAAUAAUUACUUAACUGAAACAAUUAUAAUUUAAACAGAUACAAUUCAUAGGACAUAAUGACCCGUUAUAUUACAAUUUUAAAUAUAACGACUACAGAAAAAGUUACCAUAGGGAUAACAGGGUAAUAUUUUCUAAGAGUUCUGAUCGACGAAAAUGUUUGCCACCUCGAUGUUGAAUUAUGAUAUCCUAGGGGUGCAG
RNAcentral lists this ribosomal RNA (553 nucleotides) under Chrysaora pseudoocellata. RNAcentral's name for it is "partial 16S ribosomal RNA". It matches the Rfam family "Bacterial large subunit ribosomal RNA", at positions 1845 to 2558 of the family's 2925-position model. Lineage: Eukaryota; Metazoa; Cnidaria; Scyphozoa; Semaeostomeae; Pelagiidae. The record is from RNAcentral.